GCGGGCGUCGUAUAGCGGUUAUUAUACGUGCUUGCCAAGCACGCGACGGCGGUUCAACUCCGCUCGCCCGCU
This 72-nucleotide transfer RNA is filed under the name Candidatus Parcubacteria bacterium 4484_255. RNAcentral describes it as "tRNA-Gly". It matches the Rfam family "tRNA". From Rfam's summary of the family: Transfer RNA (tRNA) molecules are approximately 80 nucleotides in length. Their secondary structure includes four short double-helical elements and three loops (D, anti-codon, and T loops). Lineage: Bacteria; Candidatus Parcubacteria. The record is from RNAcentral.